AUCUGCCGACAAAAUUCUCAAACCUGAUAUUCCAUACACAUACACAUAUAUCACCUGAAUAACAAUAAUAUUUAGAAAAUAAGAAACACAAUCACAGAAGUCGAUCUGUCAAAGAAAGUCGCCGAUAGGUACCUCAAGCGCGAAGUGCUCGGUGAAGGUACAUACGGUGUCGUUUACAAAGCUAUUGAUACGAAGACAGGACAGACAGUUGCAAUCAAGAAAAUUGGGCUUGGAAAGCAAAAGGAGGGAGUGAAUUUUACUGCACUAAGAGAAAUAAAGCUGCUAAAAGAACUGAAAGAUCCAAACAUUAUUGAGUUAAAGUAAGAAAUUGUCUUCUAAAGAACAAGUUUGAAUAGAUAAACACAGACACAGAGAGAAGGGAGGGACUACUGUGUUCUAAAUCAUACCGCUACUGAUAGGAUUGCAGGCUCCAUCUUGGAUAGCUGGGUUUUUGGAGACACUUGGUGGUACAGAGUCUCCUGGCAGAACUUGGAUGUUGAUCUUCACUGCCGAAAAGCAAUUAAAGGGUGGUCGCUACUUUCCUAUUACAGCCGUUCAGAGGUUUGACGCUGCUGUAAGCAUCUCUUGUCCUUUUUAACUGAUUCAGAUUGGUUUUCCAUUGUGCAGAAGCACCGGAACCUUCUUGUGAACAGG
This is a long non-coding RNA of Pistacia vera, 654 nucleotides long. RefSeq lists it as uncharacterized. The record is from RefSeq and is a predicted model, not a curated record. NCBI's taxonomy places the organism in Eukaryota, Viridiplantae, Streptophyta, Magnoliopsida, Sapindales, Anacardiaceae. The transcript is spliced from 4 exons.